Molecule: ribosomal RNA, 253 nt
Filed under: uncultured bacterium
Lineage: Bacteria
Description: partial 16S ribosomal RNA
Rfam family: Bacterial small subunit ribosomal RNA
Source: RNAcentral
UACAGAGGUCUCGAGCGUUGUUCGGAUUCAUUGGGCGUAAAGGGUGCGUAGGUGGCGCUGUAAGUCGGGUGUGAAAUCCUGAGGCUUAACCUCGGAACUGCAUUCGAUACUGCGGCGCUUGAGGACUGGAGAGGAGACUGGAAUUCAUGGUGUAGCAGUGAAAUGCGUAGAGAUCAUGAGGAAGACCAGUGGCGAAGGCGGGUCUCUGGACAGUUCCUGACGCUGAGGCGCGAAGGCCAGGGGAGCAAACGGG